Molecule: ribosomal RNA, 467 nt
Filed under: uncultured bacterium
Lineage: Bacteria
Description: partial 16S ribosomal RNA
Rfam family: Bacterial small subunit ribosomal RNA
Source: RNAcentral
GACGAACGCUGGCGGCGUGCUUAACACAUGCAAGUCGAACGGAAAGGCUCCAGCUUGCUGGAGUACUCGAGUGGCGAACGGGUGAGUAACACGUGGGUAAUCUGCCCUGCACUCUGGGAUAAGCCCGGGAAACUGGGUCUAAUACUGGAUAUGACCUUUCUCCUUAUGGGGUUUGGUGGAAAGUUUUUCGGUGUAGGAUGAGCCCGCGGCCUAUCAGCUUGUUGGUGGGGUGAUGGCCUACCAAGGCGACGACGGGUAGCCGGCCUGAGAGGGUGAUCGGCCACAUUGGGACUGAGAUACGGCCCAGACUCCUACGGGAGGCAGCAGUGGGGAAUAUUGCACAAUGGGCGGAAGCCUGAUGCAGCGACGCCGCGUGAGGGAUGACGGCCUUCGGGUUGUAAACCUCUUUCAGCAGGGACGAAGCGUAAGUGACGGUACCUGCAGAAGAAGCACCGGCUAACUAUGUG